This is a long non-coding RNA of Pectinophora gossypiella (pink bollworm), 472 nucleotides long. RefSeq lists it as uncharacterized. The transcript is spliced from 3 exons. NCBI's taxonomy places the organism in Eukaryota, Metazoa, Arthropoda, Insecta, Lepidoptera, Gelechiidae. The record is from RefSeq and is a predicted model, not a curated record.
GAAACUAUAAACCGGCUCUCUUCUAGCUUACGACACAAACUAUGAGUGAGAAAAGGACAAAUGAUUCGCUCUUUGCUUCAUUUUUUCCGAGGUUGUCACAACAUGAAAUGUCAUUUGGACCUAUUGGACUCAUUUUAACUCGGCCAAAUACAUAGUAACAUACAUAAGAAGAUUUUACUUAUAUUUACCGAACUAUUUGACACGGUCGCGUCAACUGUGUUUACGAGUGUCUUGUGUUCAGAUUGUUUUAAGUGAUAAUUUAACAAUAUUUUUCCAAAUAAAUGGAAAGAAACUUUUAUUUAUAUCAAAUAAUUGAGUGUCUCGACUGUGUGACAUUAUGUCUUGUGUGGUAUGGGGCUGCAGCUCACAUUCAGGAAGAAAAGAAAAUAGCCAACAACUUCUGUCGUUUCAUCGAUAUUAAAUCCAAAAGUGUCGACUGGAUUUACAUGAAAAGUCAGUUCAAGAAGACGAG